ACAUAACUGAUGCCUCCGCGUAUCGACUUUGUGCGCAUUUUAGCUAUUAUGUGUUCUUUUAAUUAAAAUGAUUCUUUUUAAGAUUCAUCUAUUAAAAAUUUGCUUCGGCAUAAUUUUUUUUGAUGAUCUUGUUACUUUGAGUAAAUUAGAGUGUUCAAAGCAAACAGAUAUAGCAUUUGUGCGUUUGAAUACUACAGCAUGGAAUAACAAAAUUGAACAAGUCAGAAUUUUUUUGUUCUUUUUUCUUAUUUUGGCUUAGUUACGAUUAAUAGGAGUAGCUUGGGGGCAUUUGUAUUCAGAUGUCAGAGGUGAAAUUCUUAGAUUUUCUGGAGACAAACAACUGCGAAGGCAUUUGCCUAAAAUACUUCCAUUAAUCAAGAACGAAAGUUAAGGGAGUGAAGACGAUCAGAUACCGUCGUAAUCUUAACCAUAAACUAUGCCGACUAGGCUUUGGAUGAAAGAUUUUAAAAUAAGAGUUUUUCUUUUCUCUCCGGAGAUUAGAACUCUUAGAUUGCUUCCUUCAGUGCCUUAUGAGAAAUCAAAGUCUUUGGGUUCUGGGGCGAGUAUUCGCGCAAGCGAGAAAGUUAAAAGAAUUGACGGAAGGGCACCACCAGGCGUGGAGCUUGCGGCUUAAUUUGACUCAACACGGGAAAACUCACUAGUUUAAGACAAGAGUAGGAUUGACAGAUUAAUAGCUCUUUCUUGAUUUCUUGGAUGGUGAUGCAUGGCCGUUUUUAGUUCGUGAAUAUGAUUUGUCUGGUUAAUUCCGAUAACGAACGAGAUCUUAACCUGCUAAUUAGCGGCAAAUACGAUAUAUUCUUAUGUAGAAUUGAAUAUAGUGGAUUUGUUGGAUUUUGAAGAAAAUAUUGGAAUUACGUUUAAAUGUGAUUCCUUUCCCUUUUCUACUUAAUUUACAUUUCCAUCUAUUUCUUUUUUGCGUAUGAAUGUAUUUGCUUGAUUGUAAAGCUUCUUAGAGGAACGAUGUGUG
Molecule: ribosomal RNA, 988 nt
Filed under: Plasmodium knowlesi
Lineage: Eukaryota; Apicomplexa; Aconoidasida; Haemosporida; Plasmodiidae
Description: SSU rRNA
Rfam family: Eukaryotic small subunit ribosomal RNA
Source: RNAcentral